CAGGGAUAAAAGGAGGAAACUUAGACAAAUAUGGUACUGGAAGCUCGGUAGCAGUGACCGCAUCUAAUACACAGAUCUCAUGUGUAGAAAAGACAUCCUGGCUGCCUCUCCAUAUGCUGUCCAUUAUCAUGGUUUCUGUAUUUGUCUUAGUUGUGAGCAACAUGAUUUAUUUCCUGUGGAGACUUCUGAAGUGGAGACAAUCCCAUAGUGAGCUAAGCCGUCCUAUAAACAUUGUGUAUGAGGAUAUGACACAGACGUUGCGCAGGAAUACUAUGGGAAACACAAACUGCUAUAGAAACACAUGAGAGAAAUACAUCUAACCCAGAAUGGUAACUUCCUCAGAUAUGAUUCACCAGCUUCUCUACAGGAUGGCUAUUCUGGGGAGCAACCAUUUAACCAAUAGACUGGAAUCAUCUAACGGACAAUUCUAUUCACUCCUUAUAGCCAGGCCACAGUUUGACAACAUGGGGCAAGAUUACAUAUGCAGCGUCAAUAGCAAAAGCCUGUGACACCGGUCCAGUUUUGCUAUCACAUAUACGGCGCCGCAUAUAAAUGCGGCGUGUAUAUUUCACCCGUCGCACGCUAAUUUUACUACCAAAAGCUAACAUAGAACUGCGUCGCAAAUCGGUAUUCAGCGCAAGGACUUACGCAGCAUAAAUGGAGAAAUUUUACUCCAUUUUCACCUUGCCACACAUAAGUAGGCGCAGCAAGCCUUACGCUGAAAAUGUGAACACCGUAACUCCCUGAAAACACCUAAUGCAUGCGCAAUAUCUAUCUACUUGUCAACCGCCAACCCCCACUGCAAUAACCAAUAAAACUAUUAACCCCUAAUCCGCCAUUAACCCACAUCACAAUAAACCUAAUAAAUGUAUUAACCCCUAAUCCGCCAUUCACCCACAUCGCAAUAAACCUAAUAAAUCUAUUAACCCCUAAACUGCCAACCACCCACAAAGCAAAUAACUAAUUACUAAGCCCCCUAACCUAACACCCCCUAAAUU
Molecule: long non-coding RNA, 998 nt
Organism: Bombina bombina (fire-bellied toad)
Lineage: Eukaryota; Metazoa; Chordata; Amphibia; Anura; Bombinatoridae
Exons: 3
Source: RefSeq, a predicted model, not a curated record